This is a small nuclear RNA of Mastomys coucha (southern multimammate mouse), 108 nucleotides long. The record is from RefSeq and is a predicted model, not a curated record. Lineage: Eukaryota; Metazoa; Chordata; Mammalia; Rodentia; Muridae.
GUGCUCGCUUCGGCAGCACAUAUACUAAACUUGGAACAAUACAGAGAAGAUUAGCACGGUACCUGGCACAAGGAUGACACGCAUAUUUGUGAAGCAUUCUACAUUUAA